UCAUACAGCCAUAUCACCCAGGUUGCCCACUGAAGCUCAGCAGGGUUGAGCCUGGUCAGUAUCUGGAUGGGAGACCUCCUGGGAAAACUAGGUUGCUGCUGGAA
RNAcentral lists this ribosomal RNA (104 nucleotides) under Sinocyclocheilus anshuiensis. The record is from RNAcentral. Lineage: Eukaryota; Metazoa; Chordata; Actinopteri; Cypriniformes; Cyprinidae.